GGGGCAGUAGCUCAGUCGGUUAGAGAGCAGAGGACUCAUAAUCCUAGAGCCGUGGAUUCGAGCCCCACCUGCCCCACCA
RNAcentral lists this transfer RNA (79 nucleotides) under Actinophytocola sp. RNAcentral describes it as "tRNA-Ile". It matches the Rfam family "tRNA". From Rfam's summary of the family: Transfer RNA (tRNA) molecules are approximately 80 nucleotides in length. Their secondary structure includes four short double-helical elements and three loops (D, anti-codon, and T loops). Further hydrogen bonds mediate the characteristic L-shaped molecular structure. tRNAs have two regions of fundamental functional importance: the anti-codon, which is responsible for specific mRNA codon recognition, and the 3' end, to which the tRNAs corresponding amino acid is attached (by aminoacyl-tRNA synthetases). tRNAs cope with the degeneracy of the genetic code in two manners: having more than one tRNA (with a specific anti-codon) for a particular amino acid; and 'wobble' base-pairing, i.e. permitting non-standard base-pairing at the 3rd anti-codon position. Lineage: Bacteria; Bacillati; Actinomycetota; Actinomycetes; Pseudonocardiales; Pseudonocardiaceae. The record is from RNAcentral.